UACGGAGGGGGCAAGCGUUGUUCGGAAUUACUGGGCGUAAAGGGCGCGCAGGCGGCUGCUCAAGUCAGGCGUGAAAGGCCUGGGCUCAACCCGGGAAUUGCGCUUGAGACUGGGCUGGCUUGAGUGCGGGAGAGGAUGGUGGAAUUCCUGGUGUAGCGGUGAAAUGCGCAGAUAUCAGGAGGAACACCGGUGGCGAAGGCGGGUCUCUGGGCCGAUACUGACGCUGAGGAGCGAAAGCGUGGGGAGCGAACAGG
Molecule: ribosomal RNA, 254 nt
Filed under: uncultured bacterium
Lineage: Bacteria
Description: partial 16S ribosomal RNA
Rfam family: Bacterial small subunit ribosomal RNA
Source: RNAcentral